Molecule: unclassified non-coding RNA, 352 nt
Filed under: fungal sp.
Lineage: Eukaryota; Fungi
Description: partial internal transcribed spacer region
Source: RNAcentral
AAGUCGUAACAAGGUUUCCGUAGGAAGGAUCAUUAACACGUAUCCAAACGUUAACCCCCCUGUGAACCAGUUCAAUGUGCUCGCACAUUUUGCCAAACAGUUUGAUUUGGGACUUCCUCAAAGAGUGUGCGCGAGGCAAGUGGCCUGGCAUUCCCAAGCAGUUAGUGUCUGAAAGUGUCAUUAGCUGUGUAAGGAUGACGCAGUCACGAUCGUUGGAGGCCGACACGGCCGACGACCGGGUCACUGGGCGAAAGCUCCUUUAUCACCCCUUUUAUGCAUGUCAGACGUGCCAGCCUUAAUUGAGCGGCAACAAAAAACCGAACAACUGUUAACAAUGGAUAUCUUGGUUCUC